GGUUAAGCGACUAAGCGUACACGGUGGAUGCCCUCGGCAGUCAGAGGCGAUGAAGGACGUGCUAAUCUGCGAAAAGCGUCGGUAAGGUGAUAUGAACCGUUAUAACCGGCGAUGUCCGAAUGGGGAAACCCAGUGCAAUUCGUUGCACUAUCGUUAACUGAAUACAUAGGUUAACGAGGCGAACCGGGGGAACUGAAACAUCUAAGUACCCCGAGGAAAAGAAAUCAACCGAGAUUCCCCCCAGUAGCGGCGAGCGAACGGGGAGCAGCCCAGAGUCUGAAUCAGCUUGUGUGUUAGUGGAACGGUCUGGAAAGUCCGACGGUACAGGGUGAUAGUCCCGUACACCAAAAUGCACAGGCUGUGAACUCGAAGAGUAGGGCGGGACACGUGGUAUCCUGUCUGAAUAUGGGGGACCAUCCUCCAAGGCUAAAUACUCCUGACUGACCGAUAGUGAACCAGUACCGUGAGGGAAAGGCGAAAAGAACCCCGGCGAGGGGAGUGAAAAAAGAACCUGAAACCGUGUACGUACAAGCAGUGGGAGCACCUUCGGGUGUGACUGCGUACCUUUGUAUAAUGGGUCAGCGACUUAUAUUCUGUAGCAAGGUUAACCGUAUAGGGGAGCCGCAGGGAAACCGAGUCUUAACUGGGCGUUAAGUUGCAGGGUAUAGACCCGAAACCCGGUGAUCUAGCCAUGGGCAGGUUGAAGGUUGGGUAACACUAACUGGAGGACCGAACCGACUAAUGUUGAAAAAUUAGCGGAUGACUUGUGGCUGGGGGUGAAAGGCCAAUCAAACCGGGAGAUAGCUGGUUCUCCCCGAAAGCUAUUUAGGUAGCGCCUCGUGAACUCAUCUUCGGGGGUAGAGCACUGUUUCGGCUAGGGGGUCAUCCCGACUUACCAACCCGAUGCAAACUACGAAUACCGAAGAAUGUUAUCACGGGAGACACACGGCGGGUGCUAACGUCCGUCGUGAAGAGGGAAACAACCCAGACCGCCAGCUAAGGUCCCAAAGUCAUGGUUAAGUGGGAAACGAUGUGGGAAGGCACAGACAGCCGGGAUGUUGGCUUAGAAGCAGCCAUCAUUUAAAGAAAGCGUAAUAGCUCACUGGUCGAGUCGGCCUGCGCGGAAGAUGUAACGGGGCUAAACCAUGCACCGAAGCUGCGGCAGCGACACUAUGUGUUGUUGGGUAGGGGAGCGUUCUGUAAGCCUGCGAAGGUGUGCUGUGAGGCAUGCUGGAGGUAUCAGAAGUGCGAAUGCUGACAUAAGUAACGAUAAAGCGGGUGAAAAGCCCGCUCGCCGGAAGACCAAGGGUUCCUGUCCAACGUUAAUCGGGGCAGGGUGAGUCGACCCCUAAGGCGAGGCCGAAAGGCGUAGUCGAUGGGAAACAGGUUAAUAUUCCUGUACUUGGUGUUACUGCGAAGGGGGGGACGGAGAAGGCUAUGUUAGCCGGGCGACGGUUGUCCCGGUUUAAGCAUGUAGGCUGAUUGUCCGAGGCAAAUCCGGAUAAUCAAGGCUGAGGUGUGAUGACGAGGCACUACGGUGCUGAAGUAACAAAUGCCCUGCUUCCGAGGAAAAGCCUCUAAGCAUCAGGUAACAUUAAAUCGUACCCCAAACCGACACAGGUGGUCAGGUAGAGAAUACCAAGGCGCUUGAGAGAACUCGGGUGAAGGAACUAGGCAAAAUGGUGCCGUAACUUCGGGAGAAGGCACGCUGGUGUGUAGGUGAAGUCCCUGCGGAUGGAGCUGAGACCAGUCGAAGAUACCAGCUGGCUGCAACUGUUUAUUAAAAACACAGCACUGUGCAAACACGAAAGUGGACGUAUACGGUGUGACGCCUGCCCGGUGCCGGAAGGUUAAUUGAUGGGGUUAUCCGUAAGGAGAAGCUCUUGAUCGAAGCCCCGGUAAACGGCGGCCGUAACUAUAACGGUCCUAAGGUAGCGAAAUUCCUUGUCGGGUAAGUUCCGACCUGCACGAAUGGCGUAAUGAUGGCCGAGGCUGUCUCCACCCGAGACUCAGUGAAAUUGAACUCGCUGUGAAGAUGCAGUGUACCCGCGGCAAGACGGAAAGACCCCGUGAACCUUUACUAUAGCUUGACACUGAACAUUGAGCCUUGAUGUGUAGGAUAGGUGGGAGGCUUUGAAGCGUGGACGCCAGUCUGCGUGGAGCCAACCUUGAAAUACCACCCUUUAAUGUUUGAUGUUCUAACGUUGGCCCCUGACCGGGGUUGCGGACAGUGUCUGGUGGGUAGUUUGACUGGGGCGGUCUCCUCCCAAAGCGUAACGGAGGAGCACGAAGGUUAGCUAAUCCCCGGUCGGACAUCAGGAGGUUAGUGCAAUGGCAUAAGCUAGCUUGACUGCGAGCGUGACGGCGCGAGCAGGUGCGAAAGCAGGUCAUAGUGAUCCGGUGGUUCUGAAUGGAAGGGCCAUCGCUCAACGGAUAAAAGGUACUCCGGGGAUAACAGGCUGAUACCGCCCAAGAGUUCAUAUCGACGGCGGUGUUUGGCACCUCGAUGUCGGCUCAUCACAUCCCCGGGGCUGAAGUAGGUCCCAAGGGUAUGGCUGUUCGCCAUUUAAAGUGGUACGCGAGCUGGGUUUAGAACGUCGUGAGACAGUUCGGUCCCUAUCUGCCGUGGGCGCUGGAGAAUUGAGGGGGCUGCUCCUAGUACGAGAGGACCGGAGUGGACGCAUCACUGGUGUUCGGGUUGUCAUGCCAAUGGCACUGCCCGGUAGCUAAAUGCGGAAGAGAUAAGUGCUGAAAGCAUCUAAGCACGAAACUUGCCCCGAGAUGAGUUCUCCCUGAGACUUUAAGUCUCCUGAAGGAACGUUAAAGACGAUGACGUUGAUAGGCCGGGUGUGUAAGCGCAGCGAUGCGUUGAGCUAACCGGUACUAAUGAACCGUGAGGCUUAACCUU
Molecule: ribosomal RNA, 2908 nt
Filed under: Klebsiella pneumoniae
Lineage: Bacteria; Pseudomonadati; Pseudomonadota; Gammaproteobacteria; Enterobacterales; Enterobacteriaceae
Description: 23S ribosomal RNA
Rfam family: Bacterial large subunit ribosomal RNA
Source: RNAcentral